UACGUAGGGGGCAAGCGUUUGUCCGGAUUUAUUGGGCGUAAAGAGCGUGUAGGCGGUUAGGUAGGUCCGUUGUGAAAACUCGAGGCUCAACCUCGAGACGCCGAUGGAAACCAUCUAACUAGAGUCCGGAAGAGGAGAGUGGAAUUCCUGGUGUAGCGGUGAAAUGCGCAGAUAUCAGGAAGAACACCCGUGGCUAAGGCGGCUCUCUAGUACGGUACUGACGCUGAGACGCGAAAGCGUGGGGAGCGAACAGG
This 254-nucleotide ribosomal RNA is filed under the name uncultured bacterium. RNAcentral's name for it is "partial 16S ribosomal RNA". It matches the Rfam family "Bacterial small subunit ribosomal RNA", at positions 524 to 776 of the family's 1533-position model. The record is from RNAcentral.